UCAAGCUACUAAGGGCGAACGGUGGAUGCCUAGGCGCUGAGAGGCGAUGAAGGACGUGGUUAGCUGCGAUAAGCCUCGGGAAGCCGCUAAACAGGCUUUGAUCCGGGGAUUUCCGAAUGGGGGAACCCACCCCGAGUAAUGUCGGGGUAUCCAUGACUGAAUACAUAGGUCAUGGAGGCGAACGCAGGGAACUGAAACAUCUAAGUACCUGCAGGAAAAGAAAUCAACCGAGAUUCCGCUAGUAGCGGCGAGCGAACGCGGACCAGCCUAAACCAUGGUGAUUCGUUGCCAUGGGGUUGCGGGGCCCCAAUAUAUGGGAUUGUGAAUGGAUAGCAGAACGAUCUGGAAAGGUCGGCCGAAGAGGGUGAUAGCCCCGUAAGCGAAAUCCUGAAGCACCCUAGGGUGUCCCCAAGUACCACGGGACACGGGAAAUCCUGUGGGAAUCUGGGAGGACCAUCUUCCAAGGCUAAAUACUACUCAGCGACCGAUAGUGAACCAGUACCGUGAGGGAAAGGUGAAAAGUACCCCUGUGAGGGGAGUGAAAUAGUACCUGAAACCGUUUGCUUGCAAGCUGUGGGAGGACGGUGGUCGGCCUCAAAGGUUAGCCCUUUGGCCGGUCUGUCUGACCGCGUGCCUUUUGCAUAAUGAGUCAGUGAGUUACUUUACGUGGCGAGGUUAAGCCGUUAGGUGUAGCCGUAGCGAAAGCGAGUCUGAAUAGGGCGAUGAGUCGCGUGGAGUAGACCCGAAGCCAGUUGAUCUAUCCAUGGCCAGGGUGAAGUCUCGGUAACACGAGAUGGAGGCCCGAACCCACUAAGGUUGAAAACUUAGGGGAUGAGCUGUGGAUCGGAGUGAAAGGCUAAUCAAAACUGGAGAUAGCUGGUUCUCCCCGAAAUGCAUUUAGGUGCAGCCUCGCAGGAUGAAUGGCGGAGGUAGAGCACUGGAUGGGCUAGGGGUCUCACCAGAUUACCAAACCCAACCAAACUCCGAAUGCCGUCAUAUUUACUGCGGGAGUGAGACUGCGGGAGAUAAGUUCCGUGGUCGAAAGGGAAACAGCCCAGACCGCCAGCUAAGGUCCCUAAAUAUGUGCUAAGUGGGAAAGGAUGUGGAAGCGCUCAGACAACCAGGAGGUUGGCUUAGAAGCAGCCAUCCUUUAAAGAAAGCGUAACAGCUCACUGGUCAAGUGAGUCUGCGCCGAAAAUUCAACGGGGCUCAAGCACAUUACCGAAGCUGCGGGUUUCAUCCGCUUCACUAAGCCGAUGAAGCGAUUUUUCGUUGAAUUUGCGAGGUCCGGCUUUCCUGGACCGAGCAAAAUUCUUUUGGCGAAAGAACCGUGAAUUUGCGAGGUCCGGCAAAGCCGGGUUGAGCAAAAUUCUUUUGGUGAAAGCAUCCCUUUUACCUGAUUGGUAGGGGAUUGUUUCACCGGUUUAGUGAAGCGGAUGGAGCGGUAGGGGAGCGUUGUAGUAACCGCUGAAGGCACACCGUAAGGAGUGCUGGAGGACCUACAAGAGACUAUGCUGACAUGAGUAGCGAUAAUGCGGGUGAAAAACCCGCACGCCGUAAGCCUAAGGUUUCCUGAGUAAAGCUAAUCUUCUCAGGGUUAGUCGGUCCCUAAGCCGAGGCCGAAAGGCGUAGGUGAUGGAAAACAGGUUAAUAUUCCUGUACCACCAAACAGGCAUUUGAGUGAUGGGGGGACGUAGAAGGGUAGGCCAUCCGGGUGAUGGACGUCCCGGUUCAAGCCGGUAGGUGGAGGCUCUAGGCAAAUCCGGAGCCUCAUUAACACCGAGAAGCGAUGAGGAGGGAUUUAUCCCAUAAACUGGCUAAUCCCACGCUACCAAGAAAAGCCUCUAGCGAGUCCGUUUGGUGACCGUACUGCAAACCGACACAGGUAGGCAGGGAGAGUAUCCUAAGGCGCUUGAGAGAACCCUGGUUAAGGAACUCGGCAAAAUGACACCGUAACUUCGGGAGAAGGUGUGCCCUCAUCAGGUGAAACGACUUGCUCGUGGAGCCGAAGGGGGUUGCAGAGAAUAGGGGGUUGCGACUGUUUACUAAAAACACAGGACUCUGCUAAGUCGUAAGACGAUGUAUAGGGUCUGACGCCUGCCCGGUGCUGGAAGGUUAAGGGGAUGCGUUAUCCCGACUCGUCGGGAGAAGCGUUGAACCGAAGCCCCAGUAAACGGCGGCCGUAACUAUAACGGUCCUAAGGUAGCGAAAUUCCUUGUCGGGUAAGUUCCGACCUGCACGAAUGGCGUAACGACAUCCCCGCUGUCUCAACCAGGGACUCAGCGAAAUUGUAAUCUCGGUGAAGAUACCGAGUACCCGCGGCAAGACGGAAAGACCCCGUGCACCUUUACUAUAGCUUGGCAUUGGCUUUUGGGCUAGCAUGUGUAGGAUAGGUGGGAGACUUUGAAAUGGGGACGCUAGUUUCCAUGGAGUCAACCUUGAAAUACCACCCUUGUUAUUUUAGAAGUCUAACCUUGGCCCGUUAUCCGGGUUAGGGACAGUGCCUGGUGGGUAGUUUGACUGGGGCGGUCGCCUCCUAAAGCGUAACGGAGGCGCGCGAAGGUUCCCUCAGGCUGAUUGGAAACCAGCCGUAGAGUGUAAAGGCAUAAGGGAGCCUGACUGCGAGACCUACAAGUCGAGCAGAGACGAAAGUCGGUCUUAGUGAUCCGGCGGUUCUGGAUGGAAGGGCCGUCGCUCAACGGAUAAAAGGUACGCCGGGGAUAACAGGCUUAUCUCCCCCAAGAGUUCACAUCGACGGGGAGGUUUGGCACCUCGAUGUCGGCUCAUCGCAUCCUGGGGCUGAAGCAGGUCCCAAGGGUUGGGCUGUUCGCCCAUUAAAGCGGUACGUGAGCUGGGUUUAAAACGUCGUGAGACAGUUUGGUCCCUAUCUGCCGUGGGCGCAGGAUAUUUGAGGGGAGCUGUCCCUAGUACGAGAGGACCGGGAUGGACGAACCUCUGGUGUACCAGUUGUCACGCCAGUGGCACCGCUGGGUAGCUAUGUUCGGAAGGGAUAACCGCUGAAAGCAUCUAAGCGGGAAGCCCACCCCAAGAUAAGAUAUCCCCUCUCUCUCGCUUCGGCGGGAGAGGCUGAAGGCCCCUUGUAGACUACGAGGUUGAUAGGUCGGGUGUGUAAGCACAGCAAUGUGUUUAGCUAACCGAUACUAAUUGGCCGUGCGGCUUGACCAU
This 3186-nucleotide ribosomal RNA is filed under the name marine sediment metagenome. RNAcentral describes it as "bacterial LSU rRNA". It matches the Rfam family "Bacterial large subunit ribosomal RNA". The record is from RNAcentral.